GUGGAGCCAGAGAACCAGCCCUUGCUACCCAGACUUAAUUCACAUUCAAGAAUUCCAGACUUGUCAUCUCAGGCAAUUGAGGAAUUCUUGGAACAAAGGACAGUGCCUCUAAGAUGGUGGCCCCGCCUUGUUGCAUGGGAAUCAAGGCUCUUAUGGUUAUUAUCUUGGGCUUCUAUAAUCGUCUCCAUAUUCAAUUUCAUGCUUAGCUUUGUCACCCAAAUGUUCUCUGGACAUUUGGGUGCUGUAGAGCUUGCUGGUGCUGCCAUUGCCAAUGUUGGAAUUCAGGGUCUUGCUUAUGGGAUUAUGCUGGGCAUGGCUAGUGCUGUGCAAACAGUGUGCGGCCAAGCCUAUGGAGCUAAGCAGUACUCAGCAAUGGGCAUCAUAUGCCAGAGAGCAAUUGUGCUGCACUUGGGAGCAGCUGUGCUCCUCACAUUCCUCUACUGGUUCUCAGG
RNAcentral lists this unclassified non-coding RNA (452 nucleotides) under Hevea brasiliensis (rubber tree). The record is from RNAcentral. Lineage: Eukaryota; Viridiplantae; Streptophyta; Magnoliopsida; Malpighiales; Euphorbiaceae.